AUGCAGGUUUUGCCUUACGUUUUUUCUAAGGAGAACCACUGAGAAGAUUCAUUUUGAAAGAGAAAGAUGGGCCUGGCAGUGUGAUGUAAAUGCAGGCAUUCGGAGUCCCUGCUGGAGCCCACACAGAGGUACCUUCCUUACAACUCCCUACCUCCCUCAGCAAAACACAAGGCCUGUGAAUGAGGGAUGCAAAAUGGACACAGAGGAGGAAGGAGGCACCUGAAGGCACCUUCUAGAAGCACAGAAUCUCACUGAAGCCUGUACACAUGCUCGCUCUUCAAUUCUCAUCAAAAGCAGAGUGUUUCAAGGAAUGCUUACAGAAAGGAGACCAGGAGGAGAAAAAGGAGGAAGAAGGAGUAUGUGGAGGAGGCAGGGGCAGAGGGAAGAGUAGGACUUCAACCAGUGACAAAGAGGAAAUUAAUGUAAAGUGAUAAAAACCCAAGGAACCAAAUGUUAAGAAUGGAAAUUCCUUGGAAAAUCCAAAGAAAGACAAUAUCAUGAGGGGAGAAGAGAAGGAAGAGGUGGGCUUAGAUGCAAGCUUACUGUUUAGUUACCAAAAUGCCAGGAUUUCAGGCGGCACCAGACCCCCUGGUUUCCAUUUUGAUGCCAUCACUUAGUCAUUUACAGUCAGGUUAAUGCUCACCAACGAGCAGACGGACCCAGGAGACUGGCCCAGGGCUUUUGCAGCUAACCGGAGCUGGGUGGUCUUUUUGGGUACCCAGCACACGAGAU
Molecule: non-coding RNA, 732 nt
Organism: Microcebus murinus (gray mouse lemur)
Lineage: Eukaryota; Metazoa; Chordata; Mammalia; Primates; Cheirogaleidae
Source: RefSeq, a predicted model, not a curated record